Molecule: long non-coding RNA, 587 nt
Organism: Brachypodium distachyon (stiff brome)
Lineage: Eukaryota; Viridiplantae; Streptophyta; Magnoliopsida; Poales; Poaceae
Exons: 2
Source: RefSeq, a predicted model, not a curated record
UGUGGAGCUUUUCUUAUGCAGUUUCUUUCGCAUUUUCCUGUAGCUAUAUGCUUCGCUAGUUCUAUCCUUGUCAAACGACUAGUCAUGCAAAGCUUGUUUUCAGUGCAGAGUUACGAGGUAUUUUCAGAUGAAACCAAAAACAUAAAUAAAAAAAUGCAUACACAUGCCACAAUGUUCUUGCCAUGAGUCUGCAGCCCGCACAAGAUAUUACACCGACAAUAACACACGCCGAUGCUUGCUGCAAUGCAACAUGCCUAUGGGUUGUAGUUUAUCGCUCAUGGAUGACCUUCUUAACAACUACGCAGAGGAGAUGGUCAAUUAUUGCACAAUGGCUUCGAACAGUAGUUUCCUCGAAAUGUUGGCUUCCGAAGGAACUACUGUACCAAUUUCAUAAUUAGAGAAGCAACUUGACUCUGUAGCUUGUCACGCAAAGGUUGAAGAGAAGAGGUGUAAAUGUAGGACAUAUGCAACACUUUUCUCGUUCAUGUUAAUCAUGUAUGUUGCUAGAAUAUUAAUCCUCAUUGUGUAAAUUUCAUCUGUUCAAAAUCUCCAACCUUCAUUCAUUGUGCUGUCCAAGUUUCUCAUCA